This 447-nucleotide ribosomal RNA is filed under the name uncultured bacterium. Its description in RNAcentral is "partial 16S ribosomal RNA". It matches the Rfam family "Bacterial small subunit ribosomal RNA", at positions 29 to 523 of the family's 1533-position model. The record is from RNAcentral.
AACGAACGCUGGCGGCAGGCUUAACACAUGCAAGUCGAACGCCCCGCAAGGGGAGUGGCAGACGGGUGAGUAACGCGUGGGAAUCUACCGUGCCCUGCGGAAUAGCUCCGGGAAACUGGAAUUAAUACCGCAUACGCCCUACGGGGGAAAGAUUUAUCGGGGUACGAUGAGCCCGCGUUGGAUUAGCUAGUUGGUGGGGUAAAGGCCUACCAAGGCGACGAUCCAUAGCUGGUCUGAGAGGAUGAUCAGCCACAUUGGGACUGAGACACGGCCCAAACUCCUACGGGAGGCAGCAGUGGGGAAUAUUGGACAAUGGGCGCAAGCCUGAUCCAGCCAUGCCGCGUGAGUGAUGAAGGCCUCAGGGUUGUAAAGCUCUUUCACCGAUGAAGAUAAUGACGGUAGUCGGAGAAGAAGCCCCGGCUAACUUCGUGCCAGCCACCGCCGUAA